CCUACGGGGCGCAGCAGUGAGGAAUAUUGGUCAAUGGACGAGAGUCUGAACCAGCCAAGUAGCGUGAAGGAUGACUGCCCUAUGGGUUGUAAACUUCUUUUAUAAAGGAAUAAAACGAGGCACGUCUGCCUUUUUGCACGUACUUUAUGAAUAAGGAUCGGCGAACUCCGUGCCAGCAGCCGCGGUAAUACGGAGGAUCCGAGCGUUAUCCGGAUUUAUUGGGUUUAAAGGGAGCGUAGAUGGGUUGUUAAGUCAGUUGUGAAAGUUUGCGGCUCAACCGUAAAAUUGCAAUUGAUACUGGCAGUCUUGAGUACAGUUGAGGUAGGCGGAAUUCGUGGUGUAGCGGUGAAAUGCGUAGAUAUCACGAAGAACUCCGAUGGCGAAGGCAGCUUACUAAACUGCCACUGACAUUGAUGCUCGAAAGUGUGGGUAGCAAACAGGAUUAGAUACCCCUGUAGUC
This 460-nucleotide ribosomal RNA is filed under the name uncultured bacterium. RNAcentral's name for it is "partial 16S ribosomal RNA". It matches the Rfam family "Bacterial small subunit ribosomal RNA", at positions 338 to 795 of the family's 1533-position model. The record is from RNAcentral.